This 425-nucleotide ribosomal RNA is filed under the name uncultured bacterium. RNAcentral describes it as "partial 16S ribosomal RNA". It matches the Rfam family "Bacterial small subunit ribosomal RNA", at positions 354 to 796 of the family's 1533-position model. The record is from RNAcentral.
GUGGGGAAUCUUGCGCAAUGGGCGAAAGCCUGACGCAGCAACGCCGCGUGGGGGAUGAAGGCUCUCGGGUUGUAAACCCCUUUCAGCAGGGACGAAUCAAGACGGUACCUGCAGAAGAAGCCCCGGCAACUACGUGCCAGCAGCCGCGGUAACACGUAGGGGGCAAGCGUUGUCCGGAUUUAUUGGGCGUAAAGAGCUCGUAGGUGGCUGAGUAAGUCGGAUGUCAAAUCCCCAGGCUCAACCUGGGAUCCCAUCCGAUACUGCUCUGGCUAGAGUCCGGUAGGGGAGCGUGGAAUUCCUGGUGUAGCGGUGAAAUGCGCAGAUAUCAGGAGGAACACCAGCGGCGAAGGCGGCGCUCUGGGCCGGUACUGACACUGAGGAGCGAAAGCGUGGGUAGCAAACAGGAUUAGAUACCCUGGUAGUCC